This 627-nucleotide ribosomal RNA is filed under the name uncultured fungus. RNAcentral's name for it is "eukaryotic LSU rRNA". The stretch from base 210 to 363 matches the Rfam family "5.8S ribosomal RNA". Lineage: Eukaryota; Fungi. The record is from RNAcentral.
UUUGUCCGAUAAGGAUGAACCUGCGGAAGGAUCAUUAGUGAUUGUGAAUCGUUGCCUUCGGAUGCUGGCUCCCAAGCAAGUGCACGUUGGUGACUUUCAUCCAUUACCCUGUGCACCUUUGGCCUCUUGUUGGCUUCGGCUGAUGGAGGAUUUUUACACAUAAACUCGAAUGUAAUGAAAACUACUGUCGUGCGCAAGCACUAAUGUACAACUUUCAACAACGGAUCUCUUGGCUCUCGCAUCGAUGAAGAACGCAGCGAAAUGCGAUAAGUAAUGUGAAUUGCAGAAUUCAGUGAAUCAUCGAAUCUUUGAACGCACCUUGCACCCUUUGGUAUUCCGAAGGGUAUGCUCGUUUGAGUGUCAUUGUACUCUCACACUCUCUAAUGCUUUGCAGUAGGAGUGGUGGACUUGGGUGUUGCUGCUUCACGGUGGCUCACCUGAAAUGCAUUAGUGCAUCUCCUGGUUGGACAUAGUACGGCGUGAUAAGUGUCUUCGCCGGCGCCUCGAAAGAGGGUGGCCGAUUGGGAGCUCUGGGCUUCUAACUGUCUUAGGACACUCUCUGACAACUGGACCUCAAAUCGAGUAGGACUACCCGCUGAACUUAGCAUAUCAUAGCGAGGGGAAAAA